UGACCGGGCCCAAGGUAGCAUAAUUUAUUUUCUUUUAAUUAAAGGCUUGUAUGAAUGGUUGAAUGAGAUUUUAACUUUUUUUUUUUUAAUAAAAAUGAAUUUUAAUUUUUAGUAAAAAUGCUAAAAUAAAAAAAUUAGACGGGAAGACCCUAUAAAUUUUAAUUUUAUUUUUUAUAAUAUUAAUUUUGAAAAUUUUUAAUAAAUUAUAAAAAUAAAAUUUUAUUGGGAGGAUAAUGAAAUUUAAUAAACUUUUAUUUUUUUUUUAUAAAUAUAAUUAAAUUAUUGAAUAUAUAAUUAUAAAAUAUUUAAAAAAUUAAGUUACUUUAGGGAUAACAGCGUAAUUAUUUUAAAGAGUUCUUAUCGAUAAAAUAGUUUGCGACCUCGAUGUUGAAUUAAGGAAUUAAUGUACGCGUGUAGA
RNAcentral lists this ribosomal RNA (418 nucleotides) under Culicoides imicola. Its description in RNAcentral is "partial 16S ribosomal RNA". Lineage: Eukaryota; Metazoa; Arthropoda; Insecta; Diptera; Ceratopogonidae. The record is from RNAcentral.